RNAcentral lists this ribosomal RNA (2902 nucleotides) under Escherichia coli UMEA 3271-1. Its description in RNAcentral is "bacterial LSU rRNA". It matches the Rfam family "Bacterial large subunit ribosomal RNA". The record is from RNAcentral. Lineage: Bacteria; Pseudomonadati; Pseudomonadota; Gammaproteobacteria; Enterobacterales; Enterobacteriaceae.
UUAAGCGACUAAGCGUACACGGUGGAUGCCCUGGCAGUCAGAGGCGAUGAAGGACGUGCUAAUCUGCGAUAAGCGUCGGUAAGGUGAUAUGAACCGUUAUAACCGGCGAUUUCCGAAUGGGGAAACCCAGUGUGUUUCGACACACUAUCAUUAACUGAAUCCAUAGGUUAAUGAGGCGAACCGGGGGAACUGAAACAUCUAAGUACCCCGAGGAAAAGAAAUCAACCGAGAUUCCCCCAGUAGCGGCGAGCGAACGGGGAGGAGCCCAGAGCCUGAAUCAGUGUGUGUGUUAGUGGAAGCGUCUGGAAAGGCGCGCGAUACAGGGUGACAGCCCCGUACACAAAAAUGCACAUGCUGUGAGCUCGAUGAGUAGGGCGGGACACGUGGUAUCCUGUCUGAAUAUGGGGGGACCAUCCUCCAAGGCUAAAUACUCCUGACUGACCGAUAGUGAACCAGUACCGUGAGGGAAAGGCGAAAAGAACCCCGGCGAGGGGAGUGAAAAAGAACCUGAAACCGUGUACGUACAAGCAGUGGGAGCACGCUUAGGCGUGUGACUGCGUACCUUUUGUAUAAUGGGUCAGCGACUUAUAUUCUGUAGCAAGGUUAACCGAAUAGGGGAGCCGAAGGGAAACCGAGUCUUAACUGGGCGUUAAGUUGCAGGGUAUAGACCCGAAACCCGGUGAUCUAGCCAUGGGCAGGUUGAAGGUUGGGUAACACUAACUGGAGGACCGAACCGACUAAUGUUGAAAAAUUAGCGGAUGACUUGUGGCUGGGGGUGAAAGGCCAAUCAAACCGGGAGAUAGCUGGUUCUCCCCGAAAGCUAUUUAGGUAGCGCCUCGUGAAUUCAUCUCCGGGGGUAGAGCACUGUUUCGGCAAGGGGGUCAUCCCGACUUACCAACCCGAUGCAAACUGCGAAUACCGGAGAAUGUUAUCACGGGAGACACACGGCGGGUGCUAACGUCCGUCGUGAAGAGGGAAACAACCCAGACCGCCAGCUAAGGUCCCAAAGUCAUGGUUAAGUGGGAAACGAUGUGGGAAGGCCCAGACAGCCAGGAUGUUGGCUUAGAAGCAGCCAUCAUUUAAAGAAAGCGUAAUAGCUCACUGGUCGAGUCGGCCUGCGCGGAAGAUGUAACGGGGCUAAACCAUGCACCGAAGCUGCGGCAGCGACGCUGAUGCGUUGUUGGGUAGGGGAGCGUUCUGUAAGCCUGUGAAGGUGUGCUGUGAGGCAUGCUGGAGGUAUCAGAAGUGCGAAUGCUGACAUAAGUAACGAUAAAGCGGGUGAAAAGCCCGCUCGCCGGAAGACCAAGGGUUCCUGUCCAACGUUAAUCGGGGCAGGGUGAGUCGACCCCUAAGGCGAGGCCGAAAGGCGUAGUCGAUGGGAAACAGGUUAAUAUUCCUGUACUUGGUGUUACUGCGAAGGGGGGACGGAGAAGGCUAUGUUGGCCGGGCGACGGUUGUCCCGGUUUAAGCGUGUAGGCUGGUUUUCCAGGCAAAUCCGGAAAAUCAAGGCUGAGGCGUGAUGACGAGGCACUACGGUGCUGAAGCAACAAAUGCCCUGCUUCCAGGAAAAGCCUCUAAGCAUCAGGUAACAUCAAAUCGUACCCCAAACCGACACAGGUGGUCAGGUAGAGAAUACCAAGGCGCUUGAGAGAACUCGGGUGAAGGAACUAGGCAAAAUGGUGCCGUAACUUCGGGAGAAGGCACGCUGAUAUGUAGGUGAAGUCCCUUGCGGAUGGAGCUGAAAUCAGUCGAAGAUACCAGCUGGCUGCAACUGUUUAUUAAAAACACAGCACUGUGCAAACACGAAAGUGGACGUAUACGGUGUGACGCCUGCCCGGUGCCGGAAGGUUAAUUGAUGGGGUCAGCGCAAGCGAAGCUCUUGAUCGAAGCCCCGGUAAACGGCGGCCGUAACUAUAACGGUCCUAAGGUAGCGAAAUUCCUUGUCGGGUAAGUUCCGACCUGCACGAAUGGCGUAAUGAUGGCCAGGCUGUCUCCACCCGAGACUCAGUGAAAUUGAACUCGCUGUGAAGAUGCAGUGUACCCGCGGCAAGACGGAAAGACCCCGUGAACCUUUACUAUAGCUUGACACUGAACAUUGAGCCUUGAUGUGUAGGAUAGGUGGGAGGCUUUGAAGUGUGGACGCCAGUCUGCAUGGAGCCGACCUUGAAAUACCACCCUUUAAUGUUUGAUGUUCUAACGUUGACCCGUAAUCCGGGUUGCGGACAGUGUCUGGUGGGUAGUUUGACUGGGGCGGUCUCCUCCUAAAGAGUAACGGAGGAGCACGAAGGUUGGCUAAUCCUGGUCGGACAUCAGGAGGUUAGUGCAAUGGCAUAAGCCAGCUUGACUGCGAGCGUGACGGCGCGAGCAGGUGCGAAAGCAGGUCAUAGUGAUCCGGUGGUUCUGAAUGGAAGGGCCAUCGCUCAACGGAUAAAAGGUACUCCGGGGAUAACAGGCUGAUACCGCCCAAGAGUUCAUAUCGACGGCGGUGUUUGGCACCUCGAUGUCGGCUCAUCACAUCCUGGGGCUGAAGUAGGUCCCAAGGGUAUGGCUGUUCGCCAUUUAAAGUGGUACGCGAGCUGGGUUUAGAACGUCGUGAGACAGUUCGGUCCCUAUCUGCCGUGGGCGCUGGAGAACUGAGGGGGGCUGCUCCUAGUACGAGAGGACCGGAGUGGACGCAUCACUGGUGUUCGGGUUGUCAUGCCAAUGGCACUGCCCGGUAGCUAAAUGCGGAAGAGAUAAGUGCUGAAAGCAUCUAAGCACGAAACUUGCCCCGAGAUGAGUUCUCCCUGACUCCUUGAGAGUCCUGAAGGAACGUUGAAGACGACGACGUUGAUAGGCCGGGUGUGUAAGCGCAGCGAUGCGUUGAGCUAACCGGUACUAAUGAACCGUGAGGCUUAACCUU